This 800-nucleotide ribosomal RNA is filed under the name Bacillus sp. IB05F4. Its description in RNAcentral is "bacterial SSU rRNA". It matches the Rfam family "Bacterial small subunit ribosomal RNA", at positions 551 to 1351 of the family's 1533-position model. The record is from RNAcentral. Lineage: Bacteria; Bacillati; Bacillota; Bacilli; Caryophanales; Bacillaceae.
UUAUUGGGCGUAAAGCGCGCGCAGGCGGUUUCUUAAGUCUGAUGUGAAAGCCCCCGGCUCAACCGGGGAGGGUCAUUGGAAACUGGGAAACUUGAGUGCAGAAGAGGAAAGUGGAAUUCCAAGUGUAGCGGUGAAAUGCGUAGAGAUUUGGAGGAACACCAGUGGCGAAGGCGACUUUCUGGUCUGUAACUGACGCUGAGGCGCGAAAGCGUGGGGAGCAAACAGGAUUAGAUACCCUGGUAGUCCACGCUGUAAACGAUGAGUGCUAAGUGUUAGAGGGUUUCCGCCCUUUAGUGCUGAAGUUAACGCAUUAAGCACUCCGCCUGGGGAGUACGGUCGCAAGACUGAAACUCAAAGGAAUUGACGGGGGCCCGCACAAGUGGUGGAGCAUGUGGUUUAAUUCGAAGCAACGCGAAGAACCUUACCAGGUCUUGACAUCCUCUGACAACCCUAGAGAUAGGGCUUUCCCUUCGGGGACAGAGUGACAGGUGGUGCAUGGUUGUCGUCAGCUCGUGUCGUGAGAUGUUGGGUUAAGUCCCGCAACGAGCGCAACCCUUGAUCUUAGUUGCCAGCAUUUAGUUGGGCACUCUAAGGUGACUGCCGGUGACAAACCGGAGGAAGGUGGGGAUGACGUCAAAUCAUCAUGCCCCUUAUGACCUGGGCUACACACGUGCUACAAUGGAUAGUACAAAGGGUUGCAAGACCGCGAGGUGGAGCUAAUCCCAUAAAACUAUUCUCAGUUCGGAUUGUAGGCUGCAACUCGCCUACAUGAAGCCGGAAUCACUAGUAAUCGCGGAUCA